UUGUGGAGGAGGACGCCGAAGGUGGGGCUGAUGACUGGGGUGAAGUCGUAACAAGGUAGCCGUACCGGAAGUGCGGCUGGAUCACUCCUAACAGGGAGACGAAACUGAUUAUGAUGUCUGAGAUAUUUUCUUAGGCCAUAAUCCUGUCACCUUAGGUCGAUCGGUACCUCAAAUUAAGACUUAAUAUUUACUGAGAAAUCAAGUAUAAGUUUUGUCUUUGAUUUCAGUUCCUAAACUUGUCUAGGUCACACCCAACAAGGGUAAUUCUGGGCCAUUAGCUCAGGUGGUUAGAGCGCACCCCUGAUAAGGGUGAGGUCCCUGGUUCAAGUCCAGGAUGGCCCAUUCGGUUUUGGGGGUAUAGCUCAGUUGGUAGAGCGCCUGCUUUGCAAGCAGGAUGUCAGCGGUUCGAGUCCGCUUACCUCCACUGAUCCAACUCCUGAUAUAGCAGCCCAAGGAGAAUAUUAUUUCUGUGACCUAGUACUUGUUCUUAUGAACGAACCUAGCUUCUUGUCAUACCUUCUUAAAAUGUUUUUGUAUGGCUGAUAGGACGCUGGGCUCACUGCAAAAAAAUUGCAGGGAAGUUCAGUAGAACCUUGACAACUGCAUAGUGAGUCUGGAAAGAAUAAAGCAUCUCAUGGAUGCAUUCUUCUUUUAAACCAAACUUGAUUUUUCUGACUUAAUUCAGAUAUUUUGAGUUAGUUUGAAAUUAUAAUGUUUAAUUCUUGAGCAAAGAGCCGAGACUCUGAAAUGUUUCUUUCAUUGAUUUAAUUUUAAUGAGAGUUAGAUCUUUAGUUUUUCUUGAUUUUAAUAUUUCAUUAGUUAAUUCUAUUGAUUGAUAUUAGAGAUUCGAAAAAACUACUGAGAAAAGUGUUAACAACACAUCGCAUUUUAGAGGUUAAUGGUCAAGCUACAA
RNAcentral lists this unclassified non-coding RNA (913 nucleotides) under uncultured Prochlorococcus sp. RNAcentral describes it as "partial 16S-23S ribosomal RNA intergenic spacer; may also contain 16S ribosomal RNA and 23S ribosomal RNA". The stretch from base 352 to 424 matches the Rfam family "tRNA". Lineage: Bacteria; Bacillati; Cyanobacteriota; Cyanophyceae; Synechococcales; Prochlorococcaceae. The record is from RNAcentral.